Molecule: long non-coding RNA, 1976 nt
Organism: Serinus canaria (Common canary)
Lineage: Eukaryota; Metazoa; Chordata; Aves; Passeriformes; Fringillidae
Exons: 3
Source: RefSeq, a predicted model, not a curated record
AAAAGGUGCUCGGUUUUGAGGUUUGUGAAAGCUUCCGACCAAAAAGUGCCCAAUAGUUGCUUUUUGAAGCUGCCUGGAAACCUAACUGCUAACAAGAAAGUCGCGACGUUUUUCUUUUGAGUAGCCUUCUAUUUGUAAACCUGAGAUACACUGUUACAACUAAAGUACCAUUGAAGGUGGAAAGGCAGUGUUUGCUACUACUGCUACUAUUUGCUACUACUGUCUCCCCGAAACUGUGGGAGAAAUGUUCUUGGCUGCUCAAGGUUAAAACCUCCGCCUUUAGAUCCCUUCUUGGAUGACGUUUGUGCGUGUGUGUUCAGUGCUGCGAAUGUAGAUGCAGAGCUGUCAGCAGUAGCCAGCAUUCAUUCUCCAAUAACGGGACUAUUUUGAAAAUUACUGUGUUGACAGUGACAUUGUAUGAAGGCUAAAAAAUACAUGGUGCUGUUUGCAAGAAACGAUGUGUUCUUCUGUAAAGCUUCCUGCUAGGGAGGCUGUAUGCAAUAAUCACAAAUGCCCACCAAUGUUUUCACUGAAAUACGCUCCUGAAAUCUACUGUAUGCAUACUUCAGAUGACAGCAGUGACUUCCACACUCUACUGAUUUUUCGUGAGAACAUCUGUUGACUUCAAACACCGUCAAAAAUGUUAAUCUGAACCUACAAGCUGUAAUAACCAGGUGUAGCCUGUCAAGAUCAGGCCUGCCUCCAGUCUCCAGCAACUGGUCCAGCUGCAACUCACUGGGGGACAAGAUCACUCUCUGCAAUCACCCUCUACAGAAUUUAUGCAUCAUGUAUGAGAUGUAUGAAUAUGCAACAGGCUAUUGCUUUUAAGGGCUAAUCCUCUGUUAACAUGAGUCAUUUUCAGGCUUAUUUUGCCCAGAAAGAGGUACCUGGACUGUUGGUAACUCUUUGUUUUUAUUGUCUCAUAUUGUCCUAAAUACUAAGUGUCCAAAUUUUUAUUACUCUAAUUACAUUACUAUAUUUAUAUCCAUUUUAUUACUAUUAAACUUUUAAAAUUCUAAAAACAAGUGAUUGGCAUUUUUCACAAUCCCCUUAAUCUUUUUUGUUUAUCUCACAGUCUCAAAGUUUGAGUCAGGCAUCUUUAAGGAGGGAUGGGCUUCUGUGGUUGUCUUUACACAGUUUUUGCUAUAAUGGAUGAAAUCCCUUCAUAACAAUGUUUAAGGCAUAAACCAUUCCAGUCUCUCACACAGAACAAAUGCACUUUUUUCCUCGUUUUUACACAAAGCCAUUACAAUUUCACACAGCAAAAGGACAAUGAAAGUAACAAAACCCUAAGAGCACCACUUUCAGAUUAGAAAUUUGUAGGCAUUUGAGAUAAUAUCUAUAUAUUGCUAUAUUUUUGCUUGAGUAUUGGCAUACUCAAUUCCCUACUCCUUAUACUUUUCAAUGAAAUGUUUUGGAAGGAGAUGUUUCUCACCCUACUUAACUCCCUUUUCUAGCUCCCAGGAUUAACUACAAAUUUUGCCACCCACUGAAUAGGGUGGAGUAUCUGGUUGAAGAGACCAAAGGCUUCAAGCAUGAAAUUCCUUUCAGGUCUGAUCUACUUCAAUAAGAGGCCCAUAGGGCACUUCUACAUAAAGAAGAAUAAUUUGCCUUUCAUUUGAAAAUAGAGACUACUGCAUUGUCACCAUCAUAUUUUCUGAUCCUUUGCCCAGGAUUUCUUCUCCUGAGAAGCUGAGAUGCCUCAGAGAAAAAUGAAAACAAUAUUAUCUCAUUUGCUUCUCCUGUGUUUUGCUGCUUUGGAAUGUGGUUGGAGAUUGUUUAUCCAACAUGUGAAUGGUUUUAACUUAAUGACCAAUCGCAGUCAGGCUGUGCUGGGACUCUGGAAGAGAGAGUCACAAGAUUCAUUAGUAUCUUGUUAAGCCUUCUGUAAGUAUCCUUUCUCUAUUCUUUAGCAUAGUUUUAGUAUAGCAUUCUUUAAUAUAGUAACAUAUAAUAAUAAAUUAGCUUUCUAAGAA